GACGAACGCUGGCGGCGUGCUUAACACAUGCAAGUCGAACGGAAAAGCCCUGCUUGCAGGGUACUCGAGUGGCGAACGGGUGAGUAACACGUGGGUGAUCUGCCCUGCACUUCGGGAUAAGCCUGGGAAACUGGGUCUAAUACCGGAUAUGACCUUCCAUGCAGUGUGGGGGGUGGAAAGAUUUAUCGGUGUGGGAUGAGCCCGCGGCCUAUCAGCUUGUUGGUGGGGUAAUGGCCUACCAAGGCGUCGACGGGUAGCCGGCCUGAGAGGGUGGACGGCCACAUUGGGACUGAGAUACGGCCCAGACUCCUACGGGAGGCAGCAGUGGGGAAUAUUGCACAAUGGGCGGAAGCCUUAUGCAGCGACGCCGCGUGGGGGAUGACGGCCUUCGGGUUGUAACCCUCUUUCGACAGGGACGAAGCUUCGGUGACGGUACCUGUAGAAGAAGCACCGGCUAACUACGUG
This 465-nucleotide ribosomal RNA is filed under the name uncultured bacterium. RNAcentral describes it as "partial 16S ribosomal RNA". It matches the Rfam family "Bacterial small subunit ribosomal RNA", at positions 28 to 507 of the family's 1533-position model. The record is from RNAcentral.